AACGAACGCUGGCGGCAUGCCUAACACAUGCAAGUCGAACGAAGGCUUCGGCCUUAGUGGCGCACGGGUGCGUAACGCGUGGGAAUCUGCCCUUAGGUUCGGAAUAACAGUUAGAAAUGACUGCUAAUACCGGAUGAUGACGUAAGUCCAUAGAUUUAUCGCCUGAGGAUGAGCCCGCGUAGGAUUAGCUAGUUGGUGUGGUAAAGGCGCACCAAGGCGACGAUCCUUAGCUGGUCUGAGAGGAUGAUCAGCCACACUGGGACUGAGACACGGCCCAGACUCCUACGGUAGGCAGCAGUGGGGAAUAUUGGACAAUGGGCGCAAGCCUGAUCCAGCAAUGCCGCGUGAGUGAUGAAGGCCUUAGGGUUGUAAAGCUCUUUUACCCGUGAUGAUAAUGACAGUAGCGGGAGAAUAAGCCCCGGCUAACUCCGUG
This 433-nucleotide ribosomal RNA is filed under the name uncultured bacterium. Its description in RNAcentral is "partial 16S ribosomal RNA". It matches the Rfam family "Bacterial small subunit ribosomal RNA", at positions 29 to 507 of the family's 1533-position model. The record is from RNAcentral.